This 67-nucleotide transfer RNA is filed under the name Eysarcoris ventralis. RNAcentral's name for it is "tRNA-Ala". Lineage: Eukaryota; Metazoa; Arthropoda; Insecta; Hemiptera; Pentatomidae. The record is from RNAcentral.
GGGGUUAUAGUUAAUAAAUAACAUUUAAUUUGCAUUUAAAAGUUACCUAAUAUAAAGGUUUACCUCA